Molecule: ribosomal RNA, 543 nt
Filed under: Trigonopterus caudatus
Lineage: Eukaryota; Metazoa; Arthropoda; Insecta; Coleoptera; Curculionidae
Description: partial 16S ribosomal RNA
Source: RNAcentral
ACCUGGCUCACACCGGUUUAAACUCAGAUCAUGUAAAAUUUUAAAGGUCGAACAGACCUAAUAUGAAAGCACCUUCACCCACAAUUAAUUUUAAUCCAACAUCGAGGUCGCAAUCUUUUUUUUCGAUAAGAACUCUAAAAAAAAUUACGCUGUUAUCCCUAAGGUAAUUUAUUCUUAUAAUCUAAACUUUAGGAUCAUAUAUUCACAAAUAAGUGUAUAAAUAAAAAAAAAGUUAUUUUAAUUUUUUCAUCACCCCAACAAAAUACUUUUCUGAUUAAAAUAAUUUUAUUAACCAAAAUUUCAUUAAAUUAGAAAAAUAUAAAACUCUAUAGGGUCUUCUCGUCUUCUAUAUACAUUUAAGCUUUUUAACUUAAAAAUAAAAUUCAAAUUAAUUUUUACAGAGACAGUAAUUUUCUUAUCCAACCUUUCAUUCCAGCUUUCAAUUAAAAAACUAAUGAUUAUGCUACCUUUGCACGGUUAAUAUACCGCGGCCAUUCAACUCCUCAUUGGGCAGGCUAGACCUAAAAUUAUUUUCAAUAGGCC